Molecule: ribosomal RNA, 253 nt
Filed under: uncultured bacterium
Lineage: Bacteria
Description: partial 16S ribosomal RNA
Rfam family: Bacterial small subunit ribosomal RNA
Source: RNAcentral
UACAGAGGUCUCAAGCGUUGUUCGGAUUCAUUGGGCGUAAAGGGUGUGUAGGUGGCGCCGUAAGUCGGGUGUGAAAGCUCGGAGCUCAACUCCGAAAUGGCAUUGGAAACUACCUUGCUCGAGGGUUGGAGGGGGGACUGGAAUUCUCGGUGUAGCAGUGAAAUGCGUAGAUAUCGAGAGGAACACCAGUGGCGAAGGCGAGUCCCUGGACAACUCCUGACACUGAGGCACGAAAGCUAGGGGAGCAAACAGG